RNAcentral lists this ribosomal RNA (496 nucleotides) under uncultured bacterium. Its description in RNAcentral is "partial 16S ribosomal RNA". It matches the Rfam family "Bacterial small subunit ribosomal RNA", at positions 28 to 506 of the family's 1533-position model. The record is from RNAcentral.
GAUGAACGCUGGCGGCGUGCCUAAUACAUGCAAGUCGAGCGAACAGACGAGGAGCUUGCUCCUCUGACGUUAGCGGCGGACGGGUGAGUAACACGUGGAUAACCUACCUAUAAGACUGGGAUAACUUCGGGAAACCGGAGCUAAUACCGGAUAAUAUAUUGAACCGCAUGGUUCAAUAGUGAAAGACGGUUUUGCUGUCACUUAUAGAUGGAUCCGCGCCGCAUUAGCUAGUUGGUAAGGUAACGGCUUACCAAGGCAACGAUGCGUAGCCGACCUGGGAGGGUGAUCGCCCACACUGGAGCUGAGACGCGGUCCAGACUCCGACGGGAGGCAGCAGUAGGGAAUCUUCCGCAAUGGGCGAAAGCCUGACGGAGCAACGCCGCGUGAGUGAUGAAGGUCUUCGGAUCGUAAAACGCUGUUAUUAGGGAAGAACAAAUGUGUAAGUAACUAUGCACGUCUUGACGGUACCGAAUCAGAAAGCCACGGCUAACUACGU